Molecule: long non-coding RNA, 1181 nt
Organism: Oncorhynchus keta (chum salmon)
Lineage: Eukaryota; Metazoa; Chordata; Actinopteri; Salmoniformes; Salmonidae
Exons: 8
Source: RefSeq, a predicted model, not a curated record
ACACACACACACACACACACACACACACACACACACACACACACACACACACACACGUCAGAACCAGAUCUGUGUCAUUGAAGACAUUAAAGGUCAGUAGCUCACAACAAGACAAUGCCAUUCAGUGGUGAACUAUCUUUCUCACAUCCUCCAAGUAAACCACAUCACAGAGUGACAGGUAACGGACACAAUAAAGGAAACACCAACAUCAAGUGGGGCGUUGGGCCUCCACCAAUCAGAACAGGUUCAAUGGGGGGCGUUGGGCCUCCACCAAUCAGAACAGGUUCAAUGGGGGGCGUUGGGCCUCCACCAAUCAGAACAGGUUCAAUGGGGGGCGUUGGGCCACCACCAAUCAGAACAGGUUCAAUGGGGGGCGUUGGGCCACCACCAAUCAGAACAGGUUCAAUAGGGGGCGUUGGGCCUCCACCAAUCAGAACAUGUUCAAUAGGGGGCGUUGGGCCUCCACCAAUCAGAACAGGUUCAAUAGGGGGCGUUGGGGGGCGUUGGGCCACCACCAAUCAGAACAGGUUCAAUAGGGGGCGUUGGGCCACCACCAAUCAGAACAGGUUCAAUAGGGGGCGUUGGGCCUCCACCAAUCAGAACAGGUUCAAUGGGGGGCGUUGGGCCUCCACCAAUCAGAACAGGUUCAAUGGGGGGCGUUGGGCCUCCACCAAUCAGAACAGGUUCAAUGGGGGGCGUUGGGCCUCCACCAAUCAGAACAGGUUCAAUGGGGGGCGUUGGGCCACCACCAAUCAGAACAGGUUCAAUGGGGGGCGUUGGGGGGCGUUAGGCCACCACCAAUCAGAACAGGUUCAAUAGGGGGCGUUGGGCCACCACCAAUCAGAACAGGUUCAAUGGGGGGCGUUGGGCCACCACCAAUCAGAACAGGUUCAAUGGGGGGCGUUGGGGGGCGUUAGGCCACCACCAAUCAGAACAGGUUCAAUGCACCUUGGCAUAGAUUCUACAAGUGUCUGGAACUCGAUUGGAGGGAUGGGACACCAUUCUAUAGAUUCUACAAGUGUCUGGAACUCGAUUGGAGGAAUGCGACACCAUUCUAUAGAUUCUACAAGUGUCUGGAACUCGAUUGGAGGAAUGCGACACCAUUCUAUAGAUUCUACAAGUGUCUGGAACUCGAUUGGAGGAAUGCGACACCAUUCUAUAGAUUCUACAAGUGUCUGGAA